UAUCUCUGUAGAGUCUGCAUAUCAAUAAGCGGAGGAAAAGAAACUAACUAGGAUUCCCUCAGUAACGGCGAGUGAAGCGGGAAGAGCUCAAAUUUGAAAUCUUCAAGGUUCUACCUGGACGAAUUGUAGUUUAAAGAAGUGUUUUCUGUUGGAGUUUUGGUAAAAGUUCUUUGGAAUAGGACAUCAUAGAGGGUGAGAAUCCCGUAUUUGACCAUUAUUUCCAACUUUGUGAUACACUUUCAAAGAGUCGGAUUGUUUGGGAAUGCAGUCCAAAAUGGGUGGUAAAUUUCAUCUAAAGCUAAAUACUGGCGAGAGACCGAUAGCGAACAAGUACCGUGAGGGAAAGAUGAAAAGAACUUUGAAAAGAGAGUUAAACAGUACGUGAAAUUGUCAAAAGGGAAGCGUUUGACACCAGUGUUGUUUUCUCGAAAAUCAAUUAAAAAAAGUUGGAUUUUGUAUUGUUAAGACCUUAUCAGCUUACUGUACUCUUUUCUUGCUUUUUUUAAUGCACUUUUCGUUUAACAAGUCAACAUCAAUUUCUUUUGUUGUAAAAGAGUCAUUGGAAGGUGGCUUUCACUUCGGUGAAAGUGUUUAUAGCCUUUGGCUUCUGCAAUCGGAGAGAUUGAGGUCUGCAGCGUAGAUCCUUCGGGGCUAGAUACGUAGAUGCUAAGUUAUAGUUUUUUAUAGACAACUUGUUGACUAUAAUUAAUCAUGUAGCUUACUCGUUUGCGCUAUUUUACCUACGCUUAGGAUGUUGAUGUGAUACUGCGAGCA
RNAcentral lists this ribosomal RNA (774 nucleotides) under uncultured Neocallimastigales. RNAcentral's name for it is "partial large subunit ribosomal RNA". It matches the Rfam family "Eukaryotic large subunit ribosomal RNA", at positions 24 to 643 of the family's 3401-position model. The record is from RNAcentral. Lineage: Eukaryota; Fungi; Neocallimastigomycota; Neocallimastigomycetes; Neocallimastigales.